This 141-nucleotide ribosomal RNA is filed under the name uncultured bacterium. Its description in RNAcentral is "partial 16S ribosomal RNA". It matches the Rfam family "Bacterial small subunit ribosomal RNA", at positions 355 to 508 of the family's 1533-position model. The record is from RNAcentral.
UGGGGAAUAUUGCGCAAUGGGCGAAAGCCUGACGCACCAACGCCGCGUGAGGGAUGACGGCCUUCGGGUUGUAAACCUCUUUCAGCAGGGAAGAAGCGAAAGUGACGGUACCUGCAGAAGAAGCACCGGCUAACUACGUGC